This is a long non-coding RNA of Rhincodon typus (whale shark), 958 nucleotides long. RefSeq lists it as uncharacterized. The transcript has 3 exons. NCBI's taxonomy places the organism in Eukaryota, Metazoa, Chordata, Chondrichthyes, Orectolobiformes, Rhincodontidae. The record is from RefSeq and is a predicted model, not a curated record.
CAUCAAUCAAGUGCCCACCUCGCCUCGAAAUGUGGAACGUACGCAGUGCGGAGCAGCUCCUCCACAGUUCACCAGGAAAAGGGGAACGGGAGUUGGUGGAGAAUCGAGAAUCUCCAAAUGUUACCCCCCUGGCCAGAACAGAAAUCCCCUCAGCACAGGAAUGGAGACCAAUCUAAUCCGAGUAAAGGACUGGUGGCUCAGGAAAUUUGGCAUAUCCAUAAGGACCUUCACCAACUUCUACAGAUGCAACGUGGAAAGCAUUCUAUCCCGGUGCAUAAUGGCUUGGUAUGGCAACUGCUCUGCCCAGGACAGUUAGAAACUACGGAAGAUGAUGUGCACAGCCCAGACCAUCAGGGAAGCCAACCUUCCAUCCAGGGAUUCCAUUUACACAUCUCGUUGCCGCAGGAAGGCAGUCAACAUCAUCAAAGACCCCUCCCAUCCUGGUUAUAACCUCUUUCAACCUCUUCCGUCAGGCAGAAGGUACAAAAGCUAAAACAUAUGGACCAACAGGUUCAAGAACAGCUUCUUCCCUGCUGUUAUUAGGCUGCUGAAUGGACCUCUCUAACGUCAAAUCAAAUAUUGAUCUUGCUUUUGUGCAGUCCAUGUGCAGCUGUAACCUUGUACGCUUCUGUCUAAACACCCUGUGAUCUGUAUAUGGAGAUAGUAGGAACUGCCGAUGCUGGAGAAUGUGAGAUAACAAGGUGUAGAGCUGGAUGAACACAGCAGGCCAAGCAGCAUCAGAGGAGCAGGAAAGCUGACGUUUUGGGUCUAGGCCCGAAACGUCAGCUUUCCUGCUCCUCUGGUGCUGCUUGGCCUGUUGUGUUCAUCCAGCUCUACACCUUGUUAUGUCAUGAUCUGUACAUGUCCUUGUUUGCUAUGAUUUGCCUGAACUGUUUGCAAAACAAAGCUUUCACCGUACUUAGGUACAUGCGACACCAAUAAAUCAAAUCAAAAUCAG